ACCCCGGCCCUUUUCAGGGCCACCCACUCCAACUAAAGAGCUAUAU
Molecule: non-coding RNA, 46 nt
Organism: Branchiostoma floridae (Florida lancelet)
Lineage: Eukaryota; Metazoa; Chordata; Leptocardii; Amphioxiformes; Branchiostomatidae
Source: Rfam